This is a non-coding RNA of Leptonychotes weddellii (Weddell seal), 336 nucleotides long. The record is from RefSeq and is a predicted model, not a curated record. NCBI's taxonomy places the organism in Eukaryota, Metazoa, Chordata, Mammalia, Carnivora, Phocidae.
CAGAUGAGAAGAUGGAGGUUCAAAGUAUUGAAGAGAAAUGGCCAUUGUCACAAACCUGAAGAAGAGCUCCGCUGUUAACUCCACCCCAAUCCUCUUUGAUGGCAGGUGAGUGAACUUCUGUUGUUCCUUGAGCAGCCCCCUAGGGAGCCUCAGCAGUGUCUUGGAAAUCUCCCACCCCAAGCAGCUUCCUGAGAUGUUCUGACGCAGCAUGGGCAAACAGAGGGUGCUUAGUCAAUGCUGAUGGAGAAGCACGCAGAUGACAGAAAGAUGACAAUGCUGGGUCACCCUCUCACCGUCUGCUUCGUGUGGUCCAUGGAGGCACCUUAAUGACCACCA